UUUUCAAACACCUUGCCCACCUUCUGCAUACCAGGCUUGCAUUCUGAAAAACGUCAGCCCCACAGGAAGCUGCCUGCAAAUUCAGGGAGCCCUUCUGAGUCUUAACGAGGGCUUGAAUAUACUUUCAGAGAAAUGCCAGCAAAAACUGUAGUCAUUUGGGGAAGAAUAAGUCUGGAAGAAAAAUACACAGAGGACUAGCACCAAGAGGGUUUGAGCCCCGAGUCAGGCCCUGCACUCACAGUGCCACCCCAGACACCCCUGCAGCUUCCAGCUUUCAAGUGAAUAAGAUGUGUGUCCAACACCACCCAGCCAACAAGGAACAAAGCCAGGAUUUAAAUUUUGACAGUUGCAGCUCAGAGCCUACGUUCUUUUUCCUCACUCUGAGGGGAAGUGGGAGAAGGAGUGUUUGUGUUUGGGUGGGGGGUAGGAUUUGAACAUAGAUAUAUAUUAUCUUAUAUCCAAGAUCAAUCUGUCUCUUCUUCCUCUGCCUUCUACGACAUCCUUACUCAUCUACUCAAGGACUUUAUAACUGCUGUGUCACAAAUCACCUCAAAACUUGGUGGCUUAAGACAACAAUCAUACAGCAUUGCUCACAACUCUAACGCAGUGAGAGAUUUUAGACAUGAACAGAGCUCCACUGGACUUGAAUUGCUUUGAUAAAUCUCAGGUAAGCAUCUGAGUUCUAGGCCCUCUUUCAAAACAAGAAUUUCUUUUUCUUUAUGUUUUAGUUCCAGGAUUUUAUUGGGCAGAUGAAGGCUGCUUUGUUCCUUUAGAAAACCUCCCUCUCUGUUUAUGUAGCUCCUCAUUGACUUUCCUCUCUUAUCAAGAUUUGGAAGCACAAACUGGUGUUCAAUUCAGUGAAAGCAUCAAAGUAUCCAGCAAUGUCAGAUUGAAUAGAACAUUAUAUAGUUAUCAAUAGACAUUUUGAAGCCUUUUUAAAAAGGGCAUUGAGGGAAAAUGCCCAUGAAAUAAGGAAAGGAGUCAGUGGAAAUUUGUAUCUAUAUCUAUAGAUAUUUGUCAGUUAUGUUUCUAUCUUACAAAUCUAUUUAUCCACCAAUCUAGAGAAAGGAAAUAUACCAAAAUAUUAACAGUGAGUAUCUUUGAGUGAAGAGAUUAUGAAUUAGUAAACACUUAAACAUACAUUUCUGAUUUCCAAUAGUUCGACCAUGAACAUGUAUUUUUGUAAUCCAAAAUGAUUAGAACAAGAAGUACUUAUUAAUAAAAAAAUAAUAUGGCAAAAGUUCUGGCAAGACAUUCUUAUACUACAGAAGCUUUGAGGCAGUAAUUUAAUAUAUACGAUUAUUUAUUCUUUUGCUUUCUUUAGUUUUACAUUGGUUUGAGAGAAUACUAAUGGAAUUGUAACUUACCAGAUAUGUUUUGUAAACAUACAUUCAGUAAAUUCAGACAUGUACAGGCAAGUCUGGUAGCCUGCUGGGUCUUUCUGCAUGAAGGAAAGAGGGUCUUGGUAAUGAAAAGUUAUUAUUUCCUUGGAGUUGACGGUUGGUUCCACAAUGCCCUCCCCAAACCCCAUUCACUGUGGCAUCGGGGAAUAUUUUAAUCUCUCAGGCAUUGGGUGGCAUUCCAGGUGACAAAGACACACAUCAUUACUAGAGUUAGAGUACACAAGCUUAGUUGGGGGUGACCUUGGGAAUGAAAAAGAAUUCAGUUACACCCUCAUACAAUAACAACAAGCUUCCUACUCCUUCAGAGAACAGCCAUUGCCCUCAGGAGAGGAAGCUAUGAAAGAUAAUGAGUUAAAUUAAUGCUUAUUAAUCAGUUGAUACAAAGAAAAUAAGUCAAAAGUCACUCAGUUUCAUUAAUAUCAUCAAAACACCAUUACAUCCAUCUAGAGGCCCGAUAGAGAAGAGAGACAGUAGAUAGGUGAUGUCAUGAGGAUCUCCUCCCCUUCUUGAGUUCUUACUGCAUUAUAAAAAAUAUCAUAAAUUCAUUUCUUAGAUCAACAAAUUUAGAGAUUUUUAAAAUAUGGUACUUUAUUUUAACUUAUUAAAACCCUAUAUACAGUUUCCUAAGACUAGGGGAGAAUUUAAAUUUUGCAAAGCAACUGAGCAUGUAUUUACGAAAUGUGUCUAGCACUAUACUACAUAUUGUGGAGGCUAAAGAGAUAGGACAUUCCCUCUAAAGAAAGAUCUUAAGACCUUAUUGGGAAGAUAACCAUACACAUGUAUAUGGCAUACAAGCAAUAUUACAUAGUCCAGGAGGUAUGGUAGGGUGAAUUAUUGAUGAAGAAAGUGGUCUAUUGCAAUUUUAGAAUAUAAACUCUGGAUUUGGCUCCCCUGAAAAUAUAAGUUCCAUUCCUUUUAUUACUAUUGGGCAAGAUACUUAGUCUCUGUAUUCCUCAGCUUCUUCAUCUGUAAAAUGGCAAAAAAUUAAAUCUGCUGUGUAAAGUAACCCAUAUGCCAUGUAUUCAGAAGAAUUUCUGACACAUAGAUGGUACUCAAUAAAAACUGGCUCUUACCACUGCCAAAGGUAAAGAAAAACAGUUCAGAGAAUACAUCUGAUACUUGUAAAAUAUCAAUUGCCAGGAUUGGACCAGGGUUUUGACAGAAAGUGAUGCCUUUUAGAAAUGGCAUGAUCAGAUUUCAAAGAACAUUUUUGGGUUUGCAUUUUAUAAAAGGCCAGGGAUUAUUCAUCCCAAUGACAGCUACAAAUCAUUCCCAUACAGAAAAGAAAGUGGAAAAAACAGGUCAGGUGAUUAUUUUCUUAAAAAAACAUCUCAGAUCACUUAUUUGAGGUUUCUCUUGAAAGUGUGAAAAGUUUAUGACCAUCCACAGCUCAUGAUGGUGACAAUCCUGAGGAUAUAGGAAAGUCAUUUCCCCUGCAGGAAGAAAAAAAAUAUCCUAUAGGAGAGAUGAGUAUGCCAAGAAGCCAAAAAAGGUAAGAGAAUAAUAUCUAUUCAUUCACUCAGUCAACAAACAUAUGAAGUACCUACUAUGCAAAGCAUGGCACUAGGAUCGAGAAUCUUACAUUAGUCUGUACCCUCAAGAGUUUAAUGACAAUUCAGGGAUAAAAUGGAACGUAAUGAGGGUCAGAACACGUCCCUCCAGAAGGCAUGCAAGGGGUAUAUAUAGCAGGGAUUCGGACAGGCCUCCUGGAGAAGAUGCUGUCUGGAUGGGAUGCAGGGGGACAAAAUACUGCAGGUAUUCAUUAUGGCUAGCGUGUCAGUGUGGGAAAGCAUAGCAUGGAACUGCACCUGGAGACUGAAGGAGGGGCCGUGUGAAGUUCUGCCUUUAUUCAGAGACCCAGGGGAACCCACUGAAAGAUUUAAAGAAGGGGGAUGACAUUUAACUAUCUUUAUUUCUGUAAGAUCACACGGGUUGCACCAUGGAAGCAAAUUGGAAGGUGGACCAGAACUGAGCGUUUAUCAAUUUUAUAGCCAAAAAUCUUGUGUAGUUUUCUGUGCGUAUGAAGUCUAAAAUGCAGCGAAACUCACUCUCUUUUAAAUCUAUGUGGCUUGCUGGUCCAGUCCAGUGCUAUCACCCACCAGUCAGUCCUUGUCAGACUCCCACUCAGUUCCCUAUAAUUAGUGAUACAGCUGCCACAGUAGACAAAGAGGAGGAGAAUGAGGUAUGAACUGUUUUGUUUGUUUUCCUUCUCUCAUCUAGUCAGUGUAAGGAAUUUCACUAGUAAUUUUUUUUUUCUUUUGGCAAAAGCAGUAAUAUAACUUAUUAACCUAUCAGCUUCCCCCCUCCCAAGAUCUUAACGUGGCAUUAUGGUCUAUUUAAGUGGUUACCCAAAAUAUUGCAUUCCUGAUGUUGAUCUAUGUAAGAACGAUCCUGCAUUGUUCUUAGUUGCAAUAAAACAAAGCAGACAAAAGCAACCCAAAUAUCCAUCAAGAGAAAAUAGAUAAGUCAGCUUUUGUCAAAUCACACCAUAGAAUUUAUAUAGGAGCACAAGUGAAGGAAAUACAGCUGCAUACUUUGAGAGAUGAAUCGUAGGUGUAUAAUGUUAAAUGAAAACCACAGGGCUCUGAGGGCCACGCACAGUAUAAUAUCAUUUUUGUAGCACCCAAGAACAAACAAAUCUGAGGUACUUCUUACUUAGCAAUAUAUGGAUAUGUAGUAAAAGCAAAAAUAAAUAGCCAGAAAAUUAUAAAAUAAUCAAGUUAGUAUAUUCCUCAAAGAGGAGGAAGGUAGAAGCGCUGGUCAGGAGCACACAGACAACUUCAAGACAUUGACAUUGGUGAAGUUGCAGUUCUUGCCUUUCGCAAUGGCGUUGAUUUCUUAAUUUUGAAAACUGUGCUGUGCUUAAGUAGAAUGUUAAUAUUUAGGGAAGCUGAAUAAAAGGUUAUGGAA
Long non-coding RNA from Acinonyx jubatus (cheetah), 4313 nucleotides. RefSeq lists it as uncharacterized. The transcript has 4 exons. NCBI's taxonomy places the organism in Eukaryota, Metazoa, Chordata, Mammalia, Carnivora, Felidae. The record is from RefSeq and is a predicted model, not a curated record.